AUGGACAACUCAGUCGAGGCGACAACUCAGAUCAGCACUGCAGGGUAUGCUGUCGAGAUGAGUUUGGAUGAGAGGUUUGCGACGAUGAGGAGCAUCGGGUUGGGGAGCAUCGACGAGGAAGAGGAGCUUAGGGUGCUACCGGAGAAGAAGGUCGCUCCUAUUUGCUAUGUUUGGUGCGAUCCCUCUCCAUCGGUACACAUUGCCCAGGGGAUCAUGAUGGUGCUCAAUGUCAACAAAAUGGUCAAAGCUGGCUGCAGGGUUAAAAUCUUGAUGGCGGAUUGGUUUGCUCAUAUACACAACAGAUUCAGUGGUGAUAUGAAUGAUAUUCAGACUAUUGGAUGUUACAUGAUUGAGGUAUGGAAAACAGCCAGCUUGGAGCUUAACGGGGUAGAGUUCGUGUGGUUGUCGGAUGAAAUAAAUCGCCGUCCACAUGAAUACUGGACGCUUGUGAUGGAUGUUGCCAUAAAUAACACCGUGGGGAGGAUGAUAAGGUGCUGGGACAAGACCUUUGAAUAUGCACUCGGGGUGUACGGAAUGCCUGCUGACCCAUAUGACCGGCCUGAUGUCGUGGCUAAAAUGAUCUUUGAACCUUGCAUGCAAUGUGCUGCUGUAUUACUCCCGAAGGCAGACAUAUGGCUGUUGUCCAUGGAUCAUGACGAGGAUCUUGAGGAGGUUCGCGAGCUAACUAGAGAGUACUGCAAAGACAUGAAGGGUGAAAAUCAACCUAUUAUUCUGUCCCAUAAUAAGCUCCCCGAUUUAAUAGAGGACGAUGAAUUUGGUAAUAUAGGAGAUCCAGCUUGGGCCAUCUUCAUGGAAGACGGGGAACAAAUUUUGAGUGUGAAAGUAAGGAAAGCUUUUUGUCCUGUAAAAGUUGCACAAGGCAACCCAUGUCUGGAGUACAUUAGACAUGUUGUGUUUUCAUGGUUUGGACACUGUGAGGUUCCCGGGAAAGAAGAGAAGAGUUGUGGUAGCAGGACGUUUCACAAGAUGGAAGAGUUCAUCAUUGAUUAUGAAAGUGGUGCUCCGCAUUCCGCUGAGGUGAAGCGGGCUCUUGAAGAAGCACUAAAGAAGAUUAUGAAGACUGUAGGUGCCCACUUCGCCGGCAACAGUAAAGCAAAACAUCUUGCGAAAGCUAUGUAG
Molecule: ribosomal RNA, 1140 nt
Filed under: Triticum aestivum (bread wheat)
Lineage: Eukaryota; Viridiplantae; Streptophyta; Magnoliopsida; Poales; Poaceae
Description: partial small subunit ribosomal RNA
Source: RNAcentral